CCCAGAUUCUAGUCUUCUUGGCUUUACUAAUUAAUAGCUACCUGGCUGUGAGCAAGCCAUUUUACCUUUACUUAAGCUAGAAGACUAAAUCCGAUCCCUGUUGCUCCAUUAUGGCUGACAAUGGAAAUCCUCCAGGGAUUCCUGGAAGAACACUGUUCUUAUUUAAUACUGACCAAGCUUCUCUGGGGAUGCUGAUCCUUCUGGAUGAUAAGAAUGCCGCCUUCAAGAUCCCCAGGCCCAACAGCAGGCAUUGUUUUCUUGGGGUCUUAUUUCUAGGCAGCAUAUAAAAUAAUCCUCAAGAGAAUAUAGCCAGAUUUGUGACCAAAAAAAUGAAAUGAAAUGAAAUGAAACUUCUCUUUCCUAGCACAGGAUGUUAAAUCCUUGACUGUUGUUUUAUUAGCUUUUGGUUGAAAUUGAUAAUAAAUGAAUGUGUUGAUCUUCUAUGGUUAGCCAGAAUUCAGAUGC
This is a long non-coding RNA of Felis catus (domestic cat), 465 nucleotides long. RefSeq lists it as uncharacterized. The transcript is spliced from 3 exons. NCBI's taxonomy places the organism in Eukaryota, Metazoa, Chordata, Mammalia, Carnivora, Felidae. The record is from RefSeq and is a predicted model, not a curated record.